UUCGCGUGAAUUUUCCACUAUGUUCUGAUUAACCUUACUUUUGUCACAGAUCUUUGAAUGGAGUGUAACCGUAAUUGGACCACCAGAUACUCUUUAUGCCGGGCCGCGCAUCGUGUCAUGGUGGAGAAGAACAUUUGGAAUGUUUGAGGCGGAGAAGCCAGGGGGAUGAAGAUGUAGUUGCUGAUUGUGGUUGGAAUUGAUGAGAUCAAAUGGAGAUGAAAUUAUAUUGGAAUAAGGAGCUUCAUGUCAAACCUAUUUGUCCGCAUCAGUGUCACAAAGGUUCACACAUCCAUCAAAGUAUGGAGAGCAUUUUGAACCUUUUAAAUAACAUCUCUUGAAGUCCAUUAGCUACUUCGAUUUUUAGUGGGAGACUGCUUCCAAGGUUAGUCCCAGUUUCAUUGUUUCUUUUGUGAAAUUUUCAUUUUUCUAUGACUCUUUACUAUGUUUAAUAUUUUUUUGUUUUUCGUGUUUUUGCUUCUUGUGGAUGGAACUAUACUUGAAGAAGCAUAUAAAUUGAGACGAAAGUUUGCACUCACUCAUCACAGGGCAUUCCAACCAUGAAGGUAAUCACAUUUCAAACAUAAACAACAUAGGAUCCCUUUUCUAUGUUUUGCUUUAAUCAAAAGUUUGUUUGAUAGGACUAACUUAUCAGCAAGCCUUGAAAAUUUUUAUCGUAUUUGAUCACGAUUUCCAGCAAAAUUAUAGAUUGCAAUGCGAUGGAGUGAUUUAAAGCUUUGGUUAUAUUUAUAGAGUAAUGUCUAUGUGUUUUCUUCAUGGUGGAAGGAUCAAAGAGUCAAAUGUAGCUAAGUUUAUAUCAGCACUAGCUGGUGGAAACUAAGAAAAACUGAUGGUUAUGGCAUAUGCUACUUCAGCGGACACUACGACACUAACUUUAGUUGCUGUUGUUAAUCAAACUGGUGGUGAUGGCUAAGCCAUUUGCCUAAUUCAAUUUUAAUUUCAUAGUUAGAAAACCAUCGAGAGCUAAAUGCCUAAUUCAAUUUUAUAGUUGGAAAAGCAGCAAAUCAUUAAUUUCAUCGAGAGCUAAAUGUAGCUAAGGUUUUUGUUAUCUUUUUUUGUUAACAUUAAUUGAAGGACGGAAAUAAUGGAAUCAUCUUUUAUGUAGA
Long non-coding RNA from Medicago truncatula (barrel medic), 1124 nucleotides. RefSeq lists it as uncharacterized. The record is from RefSeq and is a predicted model, not a curated record. The transcript is spliced from 7 exons. NCBI's taxonomy places the organism in Eukaryota, Viridiplantae, Streptophyta, Magnoliopsida, Fabales, Fabaceae.